This 252-nucleotide ribosomal RNA is filed under the name uncultured bacterium. Its description in RNAcentral is "partial 16S ribosomal RNA". It matches the Rfam family "Bacterial small subunit ribosomal RNA", at positions 525 to 776 of the family's 1533-position model. The record is from RNAcentral.
ACGGAGGGUGCAAGCGUUAUCCGGAUUCACUGGGUUUAAAGGGUGCGUAGGCGGGCGUAUAAGUCAGUGGUGAAAUCCUGGAGCUUAACUCCAGAACUGCCAUUGAUACUAUAUGUCUUGAAUAUGGUGGAGGUAAGCGGAAUAUGUCAUGUAGCGGUGAAAUGCAUAGAUAUGACAUAGAACACCUAUUGCGAAGGCAGCUUACUACGCCUAUAUUGACGCUGAGGCACGAAAGCGUGGGGAUCAAACAGG